GAUGAACGCUGGCGGCGUGCCUAAUACAUGCAAGUCGAGCGAACGGACGAGAAGCUUGCUUCUCUGAUGUUAGCGGCGGACGGGUGAGUAACACGUGGAUAACCUACCUAUAAGACUGGGAUAACUUCGGGAAACCGGAGCUAAUACCGGAUAAUAUUUUGAACCGCAUGGUUCAAAAGUGAAAGACGGUCUUGCUGUCACUUAUAGAUGGAUCCGCGCUGCAUUAGCUAGUUGGUAAGGUAACGGCUUACCAAGGCAACGAUGCAUAGCCGACCUGAGAGGGUGAUCGGCCACACGGGAACUGAGACAGGCUCCAGACUCCUACGGGAGGCAGCAGGGGGGAAUCUUGCGCAAGGGGGGAAAGCCGGAGGCAGCAAUGCCGCGUGAAGGAAGAAGGUCUUCGGAUGGUAAAGUUCUUUUAUCGGGGAAGAACAGAUUUAAAUGAAUCUCUUCACACAUUGACGGUACCUAAAAAAAAAGCACCGGCUAACUACGUG
This 497-nucleotide ribosomal RNA is filed under the name uncultured bacterium. Its description in RNAcentral is "partial 16S ribosomal RNA". It matches the Rfam family "Bacterial small subunit ribosomal RNA", at positions 28 to 507 of the family's 1533-position model. The record is from RNAcentral.